AAAUAAGAAGUGAAAAAUCACAAUCAGUUUCGACCUGAAAAAAAUGGUAUUUAUAUACCCUUAUUUA
This 67-nucleotide transfer RNA is filed under the name Sinopodisma rostellocerca. RNAcentral describes it as "tRNA-Arg". The record is from RNAcentral. Lineage: Eukaryota; Metazoa; Arthropoda; Insecta; Orthoptera; Acrididae.